This 4563-nucleotide long non-coding RNA is filed under the name Gadus morhua (Atlantic cod). RNAcentral's name for it is "lncRNA (ENSGMOG00000036903.1)". The record is from RNAcentral. Lineage: Eukaryota; Metazoa; Chordata; Actinopteri; Gadiformes; Gadidae.
AUGAGUAAGCAGACCAAGUUAUCAAUUUCCCUGAAUACCAGCACCAUAAUUAUGACAAUGAAUAUUAUAUGUAAUGAUUAUUGUUCAGCGGUCCUCAGUACCAAUCAGAGAAGACGCAGCCGUGUGACGCUGCAGACGCAACUUCCGGGUAGCCGGCUUGGUUUGUUUGGUUUGGUUAGCAGGACGCUUAGCGUCGACCUGCUAUCUCGGUUUGUAUCUAUUUUUCGGUAUUUAUAUCUGGGACCUGUUCUGCAUACUCUGUAUUGUAUUCGCUGUUUCCUCGCUGGAGCUCCGUCUGCAUCAAACCACGAUACGCUUGGCUUCAAACAGCUCGUCCAGCACCCAACCCACAUCGAUGGAAACACGCUGGAUCUCGUUCUGACCCGCGGUGUAGACAUUUCACAGCUAGUGGUCUCUUCCUACACCUCAGCUUUAUCAGACCACUUUUUGCUCACUUUCCAGGUUUUGGUAUCCUGCCCCUGCAACGAUCAGCAAGCUACUUUCAGCUGUCGCCGCAUCACACCUGCAACCAUUACAGCUAUGGCAGAUAAGUUAUCUGGUUCACUUGCACCUCUUUGUAACUAUAGUGGUUCUGUGGAGUGCCUUACUGAUGACCUCAACAUUGCCUUGCCUGUUGCCAUUGAUUCAGUUGCUCCGAACGUAACUAAAAAACGAACAUUGAAAAAACCAGCCCCCUGGUUUAAUGCAGAAACGCGCAUUCUGAAGCGAAGCUACAGGAUCCUUGAACGCAAAUGGCGCUCGACUAAACUUGAGGUCUUUCAUCUUGCAUGGCAUAACAGUCUGCUCACCUAUAAGGGUGCGCUGACUAUUGCCAGGAACGCCUACUUUUCCAGUAUCAUCAACUUGAUUAGAAACAAUCCUAAGUUUCUUUUUGACACGGUGAGGAGUCUCACUCAGAAACAGACUCAGACCGUAGGCUGCUCGAUCAUGGCAGGUGAAUUCAUGGAUUACUUUGAGAAUAAGAUUCAAUUAAUUAGAGAGGAAAUUUAUGCUUGCCGUGCAGCUUGUCCUACACAUCCUGUGGGGCAGGAUGGGGUCCUGCCAAGUAGGAUGGGGAACUCUGACGCAACUCUCUUGGAGUUCAAGGCAAUUCCUUUGGUGGAACUUGAAAGGGUGAUAAAGCAAAGCCAACAACUUGUAUGUUGAAUCCUCUCCCUUCCAGGGUUCUUAAGGAACUUCUUCCCACGGUGGGGCCUGCAAUCCUCUCGCUUAUGAAUCUCUCGUUUUCAACAGGAAUUGUUCCUUCCAAUUUCAAGGCUGCGGUGUUAAAACCGCUACUCAAAAAGCCUGGCCUAGAUCCUGAAUUAGUCAGGAACUAUCGGCCUAUAUCGAAUCUGCCCUUCCUGUCCAAGGUACAGGAAAGGAUUGUAGCAAAGCAAAUCGUUGAUUAUCGGACGAGGAACAAUCUCUUUGAACCUUUCUAGUCGGGGUUCAGGAAUAUCCACUCAACUGAAACUGCUAUUACAAGAGUUGUAAAUUACAUCCUUCUUGCUUUGGAUAAAAAUACAAGCUCAAUGCUUGUGCUGCUGGACCUGAGCGCUGCGUUCGAUACCAUCGACCACAGCACUCUUCUUCACCGUCUUGAGCACUAUGUUGGUUUCGGGGGUACGGCUCUUGGUUGGCUUGAAUCGUACCUCACAGAUAGAACCCGAUUUGUGCUUCAUGAGGGUUCAGAAUCAAAGCACUGUAAAUUACGCUUUGGCGUACCACAAGGGUCGGUCCUUGGUCCAUUACUUUUUGCAAUCUACAUGCUUCCCCUGGGCGACGUUAUCCGCAGCUUCGGAAUUAGUGUCCACGGCCCAGAUUCAAAGGGUUGAGUCCUGUCUGGCUGCUGUGAAGGGCUGGAUGUCACAAAACUUCCUACAGCUUAACACUGGGAAGACAGAGCUGAUAAUUAUCGGCUCGAAGCGGGACCGGGAAGAGUUUGAGGAUGUCUCUCUGUGGUUGGAUGGCUUCGCCAUCCCACAGAGUGCGUCCGUCAAAAAUCUUGGUGUCCUGUUUGACCCUCAACUAUGCUUUGACCAACAUAUAAGAAGUAUAACUAGAAUUGCUGGACUAUUGCAAUGCACUGUUCUCGGGAUUACCGAACUCUACCACAAAAAGUCUACAGCUGGUACACAAUGCGGCAGCUAGACUGCUGACCAGAACGAGAAAGUUUGAUUAUAUCACACCUAUUCUCGCCUCUCUGCACUGGCUACCAAUAACUUUCAGAUCAGACUUUAAGGUGCUAUUGCUAACCUAUAAAGCCUUGCAUGGAUUAUCUCCAUCCUACCUGAAGGACCUGAUUAUUCCUUAUAGUCCUUCUCAGUCCCUCCGGUAUUCGGGAGCCGGCCUUCUUUCAUUGCCGAAGGUUAAAAAUAAAUCGGCUGGACAGAGAGCGUUUGCCUAUCGAGCCCCCUUCCUAUGGAAUAGGCUGCCAUCAGCGAUCAGGGAAGCUGACUCUGUGGAGCUAUUCAAAGGAAAGCACAAAAUGCACCUCUACAAUCUUGCAUUUGGAGUGUAAAAACGACAGAUGCGAAGUGAAGACCACUCUGUUUGCUUGUGCUUUUCUUAUUACAUUAUACAUUCCCACUAUGUACUUUUCCGUUCUAAUUCACUAUUCUUUCUGUUCUAGCGUGUUGCGGGUACUGGACUGGAUGCCUGGACUCUCCUCACGGAUAACCGGCCAGAACCCCAUCACCAUUUUAAUAUGAUGUGCAUGUAUUUACCUGUACGUCAAAUGUGGCACCCAUUGCACUCCUGACCAUCCCUGGAAGAAGGGAUCCCCUACAACGCGUUUCUUCUCAAGAUUUCUUCCUUGCUGAUUUCAAGGGAGUUUUUUCUUGCCCGUGUGGGGGCAUGGGUAAAGGGGGGUGUCGCAAAUAUUUGGCCUGUUAAGACCUUUGAGACUGUAAUGGUGAUUAAGGGCUAUACAAAUAAAAUUGAAUUGAAUUGAAUUGAGACGGAGAGGCUGUGAAGUGCGGGGCUACACACUGAGAUGCAGGAUCAUUCAUACUUGGAUACUUGGAAGUCUUAGGUGAGCUGAGACUGAAGCUGUGACGCUUGGAGUCAUCUGUGUUGUAUUAAAGCAAAGGUGCAUUCCACAAAUGUUCUCCAUAGAUUAUCAAGAUUUGUCGACUUUGAAUAUGUUCCAUCGGGGUGGAUUGUGUGAUUUUGCAAAAAAGACUCUUUAUGGCCGGAACUUUUCCCCUACCCCUCUUUUUCUGAGUGCCCCUCGGUUUUUAGUUGGUUAGUCGUAGAAAUCUUCCCCUAGAAAAUGGGACAAGCCAUCAUGACCCUGGCCCAUAAGCAGUAGUCAUCACUGACGUUUGUUUGUAGUCACGCAACGAGAAUGUUGCCGGGCAUUUCAAAUCUCCACAUGUAGUCUUCAGCUGUGGUGAUUUCUGAUGUGUGAAAUGUAGGCAUCCUUUUGUGGCUGUCAGCAGUAAAUUAGAAAAAUUGUCUUACUACCAUGGCAAUAGUGGUAUUCUCACAAAGAUUUUUGACAUUCAUCUGAAUGAGAUAGAAAAGCAUGAACGCUCGCGAAUUGUUAGUUUCACGCUAUAAAUCGAUCAAAGGUCCUGAAGUAAAAAAGAAGACUGCUUCAUUACCGGACCACUCGGGGACAGAAUAGCGGUGCUCUGCGGGCUAUGUACCCGUGCUCCUACCCGUCCCUUCUGCACUUAUAUUAGAGGAGCGGUAACAAGUGCAGCAACCUAGCUGCUGGACUUGGGGUGUAUCAUGCCAUCAUAAGGGGGAAAAUCGAUCAGCAUACUGGCGAUUUCUUGUUAUACUUGUCUUAAAGUGUAAUUCCAGCGUAAAUUGAACCCAUAGUCUUUUUCGGCAUGAAGCCCCAUAAAAUAAGCCAUCCAGACCCUUUUUUUGGUUGAUAAUCGAGUAUAAAGUGUGCCCGCGAAUGCCCGGAUCUAUGUAACAGCCCAAAUGGCUUCCAUGUUAUUGGCUAGGGGCACUGUGACCCAUUCCAAAUCUGCAUUUUUUAACCACUAACAUUGCUCAAAAAUAGGGUUAGGGUUAAAAAAAUAAAUACUGUUUUCCAAGUCUGUGGAAAACAGACCUUACCGGUAGGUCCAUGUUUCCAGGAAGUUCAAACAAGUCGAUUACCAAUUACCAUAAAUAAUAUAAGAGAGGGGCCUUUUUGUUUUAAAACGGUCAAGUAUCAAGAGGCAAGAUUGUUUAGUUGAAUUUCUUGGCGCCUCUAUUAUCCGAAAAAAAAGUGUCUGGAGGGCUUAUUUUAUGGGGCUUCAUGCUGAAAAGACCGUGGGUUCAAUUUACGCCGGAAUUACACUUUAAAUAAAUGGUCUUUAAUACAUUAAAAUUACAUUAAUCUAAGAUUAUACGAUGCUUAUCACUUUUUUUUGUCAGAGCAGUGUUCGCCACUAACUCACAGAUGAACCACAAGGCAUUCUUAUAACACUCUGUUUUGAGUGUGCCUCGGAAAAUCCUCAGUUCAGAGGGCCAUGUAGCCACCUGCCCCAACUCAUCUAUCCAAACAAGAAUCGGGACACCCUACCCCUACGUGUAAACGUGAAAAAUGGAUGGGUG